UAUAUACUCCUUCCAUCGUAAAAAUUUUGUCUUAAAUUUGUCUAGAUACAGAUGUAUCUAAUACUAAAAUGUGGUUUGAUACAUCCAUAUUUAGAUAAAUGUAAGACAAGAAUUUUGGGACGGAGAAAGUAUAUA
This is a non-coding RNA of Triticum aestivum (bread wheat), 135 nucleotides long. The record is from Rfam. Lineage: Eukaryota; Viridiplantae; Streptophyta; Magnoliopsida; Poales; Poaceae.